Molecule: long non-coding RNA, 1365 nt
Filed under: Chrysemys picta bellii (western painted turtle)
Lineage: Eukaryota; Metazoa; Chordata; Testudines; Emydidae
Description: lncRNA (ENSCPBG00000005117.1)
Source: RNAcentral
GGUUGGGCAGCAGUGAAACUGAUUUCCUGUAGAACAACAUGACCAAAGAAGAGGAGGAGCUCUUCUCCUAACCCUCCUAUAGCCUUUGGGAUAUACACAGGAGAGGUACUGACAAGGCCCCAACUGUUACGGGCUGGGCAACUUCUAUGAGAUACUGGAUACCAUCAGGCAGACUCUGCAUGCUGAUUAGAUCCAGACCGGCGAAAGCAAAGGCCAGGCAUGGAGCCUUGGCCAGCUUGCACAGACACAGGACUAAGGUAUUUGGAAAGAAUCCCUACCCAAGGUGCACUAUGGAUGCUUCAGGGAGUGGUAUGAGAGGCUCAAUAGGGGACAAACCCCUCCCCUGUCCCCCCAGACAGUACUGAUCCCAAUACAUAGGGCCUUACCAAAUUCACAGCCAUGAAAAACGUGUCACAGACUGUGAAAUCUGGUCUCCCCCUGUAAAAUCUGGUCUUUUGUGUAUUUGUACCCUAUACUAUACAGAUUUCACAGGCGGAGACCAGCGUUUUUCAAAUUGGGGAUCCUGACCCAAAAGGGAGUUGCAGGGGAGUCACCAGGUUAUUUUAGGGGGCUCGCAGUAUUGCCACCCUUACUUCUGCACUGACUUCAGAGCUGGGAGGCCAGAGAGUGGCAGCUGUUGGCUGGGCACCCAGCUCUGAAGGCAGUAUCCCACCACCAGCAGCAGCACAGAAGUCAGGGUAGCAAUACCAUACCAUGCCACCCUUGCUUCUGUGCUGCUGCUGAAGGUGGCUCUGCCAUCCAGGGCCAGCUUUAAGCCGAUUCAUCCGAUUCCCCUGAAUCGGGCCCCGCACCUAAGAGGGCCCUGCUCCGGGGGUCUUCGGUGGCAUUUCGGCAGUGGGGGGUCCACUCUGGGGGUCUUCGGUGGCAUUUCGGCAGUAGGGGGUCCUUCGGUGCCACUGAACCCCCGGACUGCCGCCGGGUAUUGGAAUUGGGCCCCGUGGAUCAUAAAGCCGGCCCUGCUGCCAUCAGAGCUGGGCUCCUAGCCAGCAGCCACUGCUCUCCAGCUCUGAAGGUAGGGUGACCAGAUGUCCCGAUUUUAUAGGGACAGUCCCGAUAUUUGGGGCUUUUUCUUAUAUAGGCUCCUAUUAUCCCCCACCUCCAUCCCAAUUUUUCACACUUGCUAUCUGAUCACCCUAUCUGAAGGUAGCACUGCUGCCAGCAACAGUGCAGAAGGGUAGGAGUACUGCAACCCCCCCUACAAUAACCUUGUGACCUCCCUCCCCCCCCACCACAACUCCUUUUUGGUUCAGGACCCCUACAAUUACAACACUGUGAAAUUUCAGAUUUAAAUAGCUGAAAUCAUAGGAUUUAAAAAAUCAUAAAUUUCAUGAGCAUGAAAUUGAC